Molecule: ribosomal RNA, 207 nt
Filed under: uncultured bacterium
Lineage: Bacteria
Description: partial 16S ribosomal RNA
Rfam family: Bacterial small subunit ribosomal RNA
Source: RNAcentral
CGCGUAGGCGGCUUGGCAAGUCAAAGGUGAAAUCCCUUGGCUCAACUGAGGAACUGCCUUUGAAACUGUCUGGCUUGAGGCCGGGAGGGGGUAGCGGAAUUCCCAGUGUAGCGGUGAAAUGCGUAGAUAUUGGGAGGAACACCAGUGGCGAAGGCGGCUACCUGGACCGGUACUGACGCUGAUGCGCGAAAGCGUGGGUAGCAAACA